UACGAAGGGGGCUAGCGUUGUCCGGAAUCAUUGGGCGUAAAGCGCGUGUAGGCGGUCCGGUAAGUCCGCUGUGAAAGUCGGGGGCUCAACCCUCGAAAGCCGGUGGAAACUGUCGGGCUAGAGUGCGGAAGAGGCGAGUGGAAUUCCUGGUGUAGCGGUGAAAUGCGCAGAUAUCAGGAGGAACACCAAUAGCGAAGGCAGCUCGCUGGGACGUUACUGACACUGAGGCGCGAAAGCGUGGGGAGCGAACAGG
This 253-nucleotide ribosomal RNA is filed under the name uncultured bacterium. Its description in RNAcentral is "partial 16S ribosomal RNA". It matches the Rfam family "Bacterial small subunit ribosomal RNA", at positions 524 to 776 of the family's 1533-position model. The record is from RNAcentral.